GGGUUCGAUUCCGGAGAGGGAGCCUGAGAAACGGCUACCACAUCCAAGGAAGGCAGCAGGCGCGCAAAUUACCCAAUCCAGACAUUGGGAGGUAGUGACGAGAAAUACUGGGGGCGCUCUAUGAGUGCCAUCCGGAAUGAACGUAACACAAAAAAUUCGAUGAGGAUCUACUGGAGGGCAAGUCUGGUGCCAGCAGCCGCGGUAAUUCCAGCUCCAGUAGUGUAUAUCAACAUUGUUGCGCUUGGAACGCUCGUAGUUGGAUUGAGGGUGUUUAAACAGGCGUGGCUCUUCGGAGCCGUGUCUGGACGCACUGCAGCUGGUCGGUUCAGCCGUCAGUGGUGGUGCGUCUGAACCCCUUGUCGCACUGGUCCUGGGUGUCGCCUUCACUGUCGAUGUCCAGGUGCCGGUGGAGUGUGCCUUGAAUAAAGCAUAGUGCUCAAAGCAGGCGUACGCUCGUGUGUUAUAGCAUGGAACGAAUAUCAAUGGCCGGGCUGCUUUGCGUGUCGGUGCAAGCUGGCGCGAAAGCAGCCGGACUCUGCUAGUGUUGGUUGGAGUAGCGGUCUCAACGGUUAACAGGGACAUCUGAGGGCACUAGUACUUUGUGGCGAGAGGUGAAAUUCUUUGACCCACAAAAGACUGACUAUUGCGAAAGCAUUUGCCAAGAAUGUUUUCAUUAAUCAAGAACGAAGGUCAGAGGAUCGAAGACGAUCAGAUACCGUCCUAGUUUUGACAGCAAACUAUGCCAGCAUAGGGUCAGUGCGGUCGCCUGCCUUUGGGGCAGGUCGAACCACGUUGGGCCUUAAGGGAAACCUAGCUUUCGGGCUGCUGGGAGAAUAUCGCUGCAAGGCUGAAAUUUAAAGAAAUUGACGGAGAGGCACCACCAGGAGUGGAGCCUGCGGCUUAAUUUGACUCAACACGGGGAAACUCACCAGGUCCAGACAUUGGCAGGAUUGACAGACUGGUAGAUCUUUCAUGAUUCAGUGAAUGGUGGUGCAUGGCCGUUCUUAGUUGGUGGAGUGAUCUGUCAGGUCUAUUCCGGUAACGAGCGAGACCACGGCCUUUAGUUAACGGUUGUCCUAUACUAAACUAGGCUAGGGCGACAGUGCUAGAGGGACUAUUGGCGUUCAAGCCAGGGGAAGCGUGGCAAUAACAGGUCUGUGAUGCCCUUCGAUGUCCUGGGCUGCACGCGCGCUACAAUGGCAGCAGCAGAGAGCAACUGGCCAGAGAUGGUCGGUGAAACUGUAAAUGGCUGUCGUGAUCGGGAUUGAGCCUUGUAAUUUUUGCUCAUGAAAGAGGAAUUCCUCGUAAGCGCUGGUCAUCAGCCAGUGUUGAAUACGUCUCUGCCUCUUGUACACACCGCCCGUCGCUACUACCGAUUGAAUUGUUUCCAAAGCUGGUUGGACCGGACUCGCCCGGCAUCUGCUGCGUGAGCUGGAAGGCCGACGAUCGAUUUGCAGCUAGCUAGGAUACCUAGCAUAAUCCAGUCAAAUUGCACGUAAUGCAAUAUCGCUCAAUAUUUACGAUCACGUCUAUGAUACAUUCUUUCAUUAAUCUAGAACGAAUGUCACAGGAUCGAUGACGAUCAGAUACCGUCCUAGUUUUGACAGCAAACU
This 1613-nucleotide ribosomal RNA is filed under the name Ceratomyxa sp. mal AC-2020. Its description in RNAcentral is "SSU rRNA". It matches the Rfam family "Eukaryotic small subunit ribosomal RNA", at positions 373 to 1831 of the family's 1831-position model. The record is from RNAcentral. Lineage: Eukaryota; Metazoa; Cnidaria; Myxozoa; Bivalvulida; Ceratomyxidae.